UACGGAGGGUGCGAGCGUUGUCCGGAAUCAUUGGGCGUAAAGGGCGCGUAGGUGGCCCGGUCAGUCCGUGGUGAAAGCGCGGGGCUCAACCCUGCGUCGGCCAUGGAUACUGCCGCGGCUCGAGCACUGUAGAGGCAGGCGGAAUUCCGGGUGUAGCGGUGGAAUGCGUAGAGAUCCGGAGGAAGACCGGUGGCGAAGGCGGCCUGCUGGGCAGUUACUGACACUGAGGCGCGACAGCGUGGGGAGCAAACAGG
RNAcentral lists this ribosomal RNA (254 nucleotides) under uncultured bacterium. RNAcentral describes it as "partial 16S ribosomal RNA". It matches the Rfam family "Bacterial small subunit ribosomal RNA", at positions 524 to 776 of the family's 1533-position model. The record is from RNAcentral.